This 302-nucleotide long non-coding RNA is filed under the name Trifolium pratense (red clover). Its description in RNAcentral is "long non-coding RNA (TPRA_LNC003190)". Lineage: Eukaryota; Viridiplantae; Streptophyta; Magnoliopsida; Fabales; Fabaceae. The record is from RNAcentral.
AAAGACAAUGGUAAAAUGGCAUUUAAGAAAGUGCACUAUAAAUAAAACCAGAAAUCACUUCAAAGACAAAUAAAUAUGUUACAGCCAGAGGAGAACCAGCAACUGGCCUUGGUCUUUCAUUAGCCCCUACAGAUCACUAAUAUACUCCAAUAACCUUAAAAUAAAUAAAUAAAACCAAGUAAUGUCAACAUCAUGCGUUUUACACUAUUCUUCCCCCUUAUCGUCAUGCUCUUGGUCAUCAUCAUGCGUUUUACCAAACCUGUGAACAAAAGGAUUAUGCUCUGCAGCAUUCCUAAGACCCU